GCGCUCCCUCGGCCCCAGCGCCCGGACCCGGGGGGCGGCCCGCGCGCCCCGCGCCCACGGGGGCCCCGCCUCCGGGCGGGCCGGCUGCUGGGGGGGCGCACCCCGACUUCCCCGGGGUCACAUGGGCUGCGGGGGGCGGGAGCGCCGGGAAAGGGGGAGGCGCGGGGAGCUCGCUGCCUGCCUGCCUGCUCGCUCGAGCCGGGGACGAGACGCCCCCCACCCCUCCAGCUCGGCCUCUCCAUCCAAGUUCCCGGUCCCCGGCCGCCCGGAUCCGGGGAUGGCAACCGCCGCCCGCCCGCCUCUGCGCCCUUUUUUCCAGCCGCCGCGCAGAAAUUUAGGUCAAGGACGUCGGGAUCAAACCCAAACCCUGGCGCUCCUUGGGCGCUCCCGGAGACCCCCAGAACGGGGGGCGGGGGGCUUUCAGGAUGGUGCGGACACCCUCCGCACAAACCCCAGCCACAAGUUUUAUUUUCCUUUCGCGCUGGAAGUUCUGUCUGGCUCUCGAUCCACACCGGCACGUCUUGCGCGGCUCCCCGCCCUUCCCCGGCAGAGGUCGCUGAGCUGAUUAAGAAGAAAGCUGACUCCUACCUUCCAAUCUUGUGUCCAUUUCAUCUGCUUCCAAACAUAAAGCCGCCCGCUGCUUUUGCAAGAUCUUGGCUGGUUUAAAAAGGCAGAUUCGGGAUUUGUGUGCAGGAUUUCAGGAAUGUGGGGUCUUCUGGUUUGUUUUGUGUGUGGAUGGCACAGCAGAAGGGAAACAAAGCAUUCUGCUGCCUCGCAUGGAGGUUCUUCUAGUAGCCAGGCGACCUUGAGCGGAAAAGCCACCCUCAGUCUCCAGUACCCCAUCUGUAAACUGUGGGUCACUAUGGUUUUAAAGUAUCUUGGUCCUCCUGCAAGAGGUGGAGCCUGAUCUUCCCACCCCCACCCCGGGUCCCCCAGCGUGGGCUGUACUUAGUCACUGGGUUCUGA
Bos taurus (domestic cattle) is the source of this 966-nucleotide long non-coding RNA. NCBI's taxonomy places the organism in Eukaryota, Metazoa, Chordata, Mammalia, Artiodactyla, Bovidae. The record is from Ensembl.